GCAAGUCGAGCGAACGGACGAGAAGCUUGCUUCUCUGAUGCUAGCGGCGGACGGGUGAGUAACACGUGGAUAACCUACCUAUAAGACUGGGAUAACUUCGGGAAACCGGAGCUAAUACCGGAUAAUAUUUUGAACCGCAUGGUUCAAAAGUGAAAGACGGUCUUGCUGUCACUUAUAGAUGGAUCCGCGCUGCAUUAGCUAGUUGGUAAGGUAACGGCUUACCAAGGCAACGAUGCAUAGCCGACCUGAGAGGGUGAUCGGCCACACUGGAACUGAGACACGGUCCAGACUCCUACGGGAGGCAGCAGUAGGGAAUCUUCCGCAAUGGGCGAAAGCCUGACGGAGCAACGCCGCGUGAGUGAUGAAGGUCCUCGGAUCGUAAAACUCUGUUAUUAGGGAAGAACAUAUGUGUAAGUAACUGUGCACAUCUUGACGGUACCUAAUCAGAAAGCCACGGCUAACUACGUGCCAGCAGCCGCGGUAAUACGUAGGUGGCAAGCGUUAUCCGGAAUUAUUGGGCGUAAAGCGCGCGUAGGCGGUUUUUUAAGUCUGAUGUGAAAGCCCACGGCUCAACCGUGGAGGGUCAUUGGAAACUGGAAAACUUGAGUGCAGAAGAGGGAAGUGGAAUUCCAUGUGUAGCGGUGAGAUGCGCAGAGAUAUGGAGGAACACCAGUGGCGAAGGCGACUUUCUGGUCUGUAACUGACGCUGAUGUGCGGAAG
RNAcentral lists this ribosomal RNA (720 nucleotides) under uncultured Staphylococcus sp. RNAcentral describes it as "bacterial SSU rRNA". It matches the Rfam family "Bacterial small subunit ribosomal RNA", at positions 57 to 759 of the family's 1533-position model. Lineage: Bacteria; Bacillati; Bacillota; Bacilli; Caryophanales; Staphylococcaceae. The record is from RNAcentral.